AGGCGCGGCCCGCGAGACCCCGCCCCCGCAGCGCGCCUUGGCGCGCCCAUGGCGGCGGCUGCUGAGGGCCUUGUCGGGGGAGUGCGGGGGAAAAAUGAGAUUUCCCGUUUAAUUGCGCGUUUGGCCACGAUUAGUAAAAGACAGUUUAAUCACCCUAGGGAACAAACCUCUGAACACACCUUCUGUCUAAACAGGAAGGGAUUGUAAUAGAAGGGGUUGUAAAGUGUUCUGGUUUAAAUUGACUGGGACGCUAUCCCAAUGAAAUUGAUCUUGCCUGCAGUUGUAGUUCAAGUUUAACUUAAAAACUACAUUGUCUGGAGAAAGUGAGGCUGAUCACUUCAUGUGUGGGCUAUCACUAUUAGGGAUCAAGCUGCAUUAUUUCCUAGUGGUAUGGGGCUGUGCGUCUCGGCACUGAAAGGUUUAAGGUUUCCGGAAGUUUGUAAGACUUUCUAUUCCCCAACUGAGAAGAGAUUGAAGUAUUUUUGAAGUUAUCUGGGUUGAAAAAUCCUGCAAAUUUGUGACAGUUCCCUGAGCAAGCAGCCAUUCUGGUAGUGCCGACGCUUCUCUCCCCGACGCCCUUCCUCAGCCCCGGCUAGCUCUUCUGGGGAGAGGUGCGGGCAGGUUUCUAGCGCUUCCCGCUGGACCCUCGCGGGCUUUGGGAAGCACUAUCGGAGUUCCAAAGAGCAGCCAGCGACCCCACGGCGAAUUACGAAGAGAGUCUUUCUCUGGGGGCGAAUUCCGUUUAUUGUAAUCCAACGGGGAAUACAAUAACUCGAAGGGGACCAGGCGUGCCGCGCUGGCAUUUCCCAGAAAGGCAUGGGCAGGACGGAACACGCUGGAGCCAGCCAGAAGAAAGCGCGAAACGAAUUAAAUUCGGAACGGGGGAAAACUGAACAGCCAAUGGGGUAAAACCGCGGGGUGGUUCGAGGGUGGUGGGAUACGGGGGUACAUCCAAUGAAGGACAGACAGGGGAAGGGUCCCAGGUCCUCUACCAAUCACCCGGCGUCCCGGAUGGAAGAUUCUAGGUGGAUGGGAAGGGACACCGAGUGACGGACAGGCAUCUGGGGUAAACAGGGGGAUGAUUUAGCACUUUGGGGAUAACGGACACUCGGGGGAAAGGCGGGAAAACCCGGGGAGAAACCAUUACAGAACCGGGGGUACAUGGAACAAACCUAUACAUAAUACAAAUGUAAUAAAACAUAAAAAACACAACUUUACAUGGUAGCUUCUAGGUAGCAUAAGUUGAGAGAAGUUUAAGUGGAGCUUCCAGAUAGUUUGUUUUAUAUUUUGGAAAAUAAAACUGAUACUAUUAUUCUACAUAUAGGAACUUUCCAUAAAAUUUUGUUAUCCCUAGACCAUCAUAUCCAAAGAUGGUUAGCAGAGAUGUAGAAGCUAUUUCUCCUAUGAAUAUUCUUACCUUUCUCCUUGCAUCUCUCAGUGGAAGAUCCAAAAUAAAAAUGAACUCUAAAAUUCACAAAAA
Taeniopygia guttata (zebra finch) is the source of this 1480-nucleotide long non-coding RNA. RefSeq lists it as uncharacterized. The record is from RefSeq and is a predicted model, not a curated record. NCBI's taxonomy places the organism in Eukaryota, Metazoa, Chordata, Aves, Passeriformes, Estrildidae.